This 577-nucleotide ribosomal RNA is filed under the name uncultured Tomentella. Its description in RNAcentral is "eukaryotic LSU rRNA". The stretch from base 155 to 309 matches the Rfam family "5.8S ribosomal RNA". Lineage: Eukaryota; Fungi; Basidiomycota; Agaricomycetes; Thelephorales; Thelephoraceae. The record is from RNAcentral.
GCACACUUUGUUUACACAUCCACUCACACCUGUGCACCCUCCGUAGUUCUAUGGCCUGGGUGGGCUCUGUCCUCCUGGCGUGGUUCUACGUCUUUACACACACACUACAACAAAGUCUUAUGGAAUGUAUGUCGCGUUUAACGCAAUGAAAUACAACUUUCAGCAACGGAUCUCUUGGCUCUCGCAUCGAUGAAGAACGCAGCGAAAUGCGAUAAGUAAUGUGAAUUGCAGAAUUCAGUGAAUCAUCGAAUCUUUGAACGCACCUUGCGCCCUUUGGCUAUUCCGAAGGGCAUGCCUGUUUGAGUAUCAUGAACACCUCAACUCUCAUGGCUUGCCAUGAUGAGCUUGGACUUUGGGGGUCUUGUUGGCCUGUGAGCCAGCUCCUCUUAAAUGAAUUAGCUUGCCGGUGUUUGGUGGCAUCACGGGUGUGAUAACUAUCUACGCUUGUGGUUUCCCACCAGGUAACCUUCAGCAAUGGAGGUUCGCCGGAGCUUAUAAAUGUCUCUCCUCGGUGAGGACACAUUUUGACCAUUUGAUCUCAAAUCAGGUAGGACUACCCGCUAAACUUAAGCAUAUC